UACGAAUGGGGCAAGCGUUGUUCGGAAUCACUGGGCUUAAAGCGUGCGCAGGCGGCCAAGCAAGUCAGGAGUGAAAUCCCCGGGCUCAACCCGGGAAUUGCUCUUGAAACUGCUUGGCUAGAAUCCCGGAGAGGUUGGCAGAAUUCCGAGUGUAGAGGUGAAAUUCGCAGAUAUUCGGAGGAAUACCAGUGGCGUAAGCGGCCAACUGGACGGGCAUUGACGCUCAGGCACGAAAGCGUGGGGAGCAAACAGG
Molecule: ribosomal RNA, 253 nt
Filed under: uncultured bacterium
Lineage: Bacteria
Description: partial 16S ribosomal RNA
Rfam family: Bacterial small subunit ribosomal RNA
Source: RNAcentral